CACGUAGGGGACGAGCGUUGUCCGGAUUCAUUGGGCGUAAAGCGCGCGUAGGCGGCUCGGAAAGUCGGGCGUGAAAUGCCGGGGCUCAACCCCGGGACUGCGUCCGAUACUGGAAGGCUUGAAUCCGGGAGAGGGAUGUGGAAUUCCAGGUGUAGCGGUGAAAUGCGUAGAUAUCUGGAGGAACACCGGUGGCGAAGGCGACAUCCUGGACCGGUAUUGACGCUGAGGCGCGAAAGCCAGGGGAGCAAACGGG
RNAcentral lists this ribosomal RNA (253 nucleotides) under uncultured bacterium. RNAcentral describes it as "partial 16S ribosomal RNA". It matches the Rfam family "Bacterial small subunit ribosomal RNA", at positions 524 to 776 of the family's 1533-position model. The record is from RNAcentral.